CGCUCGUGUCGUGAGAUGUUGGGUUAAGUCCCGCAACGAGCGCAACCCUUGUCGUUAGUUACUACCAUUAAGUUGAGGACUCUAGCGAGACUGCCUGGGUUAACCAGGAGGAAGGUGGGGAUGACGUCAAAUCAUCAUGCCCCUUAUGUGUAGGGCUACACACGUGCUACAAUGGCUGGUACAGAGAGAUGCAAUACCGCGAGGUGGAGCCAAACUUAAAAACCAGUCUCAGUUCGGAUUGUAGGCUGAAACUCGCCUACAUGAAGCUGGAGUUACUAGUAAUCGCGAAUCAGAAUGUCGCGGUGAAUACGUUCCCGGGU
Molecule: ribosomal RNA, 320 nt
Filed under: uncultured bacterium
Lineage: Bacteria
Description: bacterial SSU rRNA
Rfam family: Bacterial small subunit ribosomal RNA
Source: RNAcentral